UACGUAGGGUGCAAGCGUUAAUCGGAAUUACUGGGCGUAAAGCGUGCGCAGGUGGUUUUGUAAGUCUGUCGUGAAAGCCCCGGGCUCAACCUGGGAAUUGCGAUGGAGACUGCAAGGCUUGAAUCUGGCAGAGGGGGGUAGAAUUCCACGUGUAGCAGUGAAAUGCGUAGAGAUGUGGAGGAACACCGAUGGCGAAGGCAGCCCCCUGGGUCAAGAUUGACGCUCAUGCACGAAAGCGUGGGGAGCAAACAGG
RNAcentral lists this ribosomal RNA (253 nucleotides) under uncultured bacterium. Its description in RNAcentral is "partial 16S ribosomal RNA". It matches the Rfam family "Bacterial small subunit ribosomal RNA", at positions 524 to 776 of the family's 1533-position model. The record is from RNAcentral.